UGUGGUUACAAUAGCAAGGAGGAUACACCUGUUCCCAUUCCGAACACAGAAGUUAA
Molecule: ribosomal RNA, 56 nt
Filed under: Tepidibacter formicigenes DSM 15518
Lineage: Bacteria; Bacillati; Bacillota; Clostridia; Peptostreptococcales; Peptostreptococcaceae
Source: RNAcentral